UAGCAUAAAAAAUUAGAAAAAAUGAAAAAAAAAAUAACCGUUAUUCAAAAUGCGGCAAUACUAAGCCGACGUUUGAAUUGCGGCGACGUGCAACCAUAAGGGAAACAAAGAGUGGGGUGAGAAACAGUGAAGUGUAAUGUGAGAUAGAAAAUGAAGUAUGCUUAGAGAGGAAAAUGAAAUGCGUAAAGGGUGUAGGAUUUUUGUGUCUCAUGGUCAAAGAUUCCUCUAACAGGGUUAAAAAUGGAAAUUAAAUAAAAGUAAGAGGUGCACGAUGAUGUAUGUGAGGUGUAUGGAGAAUCUCUCAAAACCCAAAAACCACCUUUCUUCUACUCUUCUCUCACUCCCCACGUUAUAACCAAGACUCCUCCCUCCUUCAUGCUUUCCCUUUUCUUUUUAUUUCUUCUUCCUUCAACCCUUACGUUCCUUCCUCUUCUCUUUGGUUUUCCUUCUCAACUCCAACAUAAGACUCUUCUUUUUUCUCCUUACCUUUGCUAUAUGAUUUGUAGUGUGCUCAUCUCCUCCUUUCACUUCCAUAAUUCUUCCUUCAUGUUCUUCUUCCUCCAAUAACACCCAGUUUCUUCUUUCUUCACUACUUUAAUCAACCCCAUAGAUCCCAUCUCACAAAAAUAUCACUUUCACCCUUUGCAUACUCAUAACUCACUCUUUUCUCUCAACUAUGGGAGAGAACUCUCAAAACCCUCAUACCCACACUCUUGGUCAAAGAGUGUAGAUAAGCAUCCCACAAAAAUAUUAUAAUUCAUACAUGGUAAUAAGGAAACAAGAUGCACACAAUAUAACAUGAUUUUAAGUGUACCCACAAAACUUCUUCAUACACAUACAUCACCCCAAAGUGUCUAAAACAUGUAUACCCAUUUUAAGAACAACACUUUUUGAAAAACCAACAUGUAAAGUUCAAGGUAUACCCAUAACUACAAAAAAAAC
RNAcentral lists this long non-coding RNA (942 nucleotides) under Vigna radiata. Its description in RNAcentral is "long non-coding RNA (VRAD_LNC003827)". Lineage: Eukaryota; Viridiplantae; Streptophyta; Magnoliopsida; Fabales; Fabaceae. The record is from RNAcentral.